ACAAACGCCCCCGCGGGGGAAGAGGAGGAGCAGGCAGGGACUGUGCUAGCGCCGUACGCGGAGCCCAGGCGCGUUCGUCAAGUUCUUCAUCGUGAAAUUUAUUGAGGGUUAAAAAGAUUUUUUUUAACGUGCAACUGAACGGCUCCUUUACGCUUCCCACAGCUGCAUGUUGCCGGGCUCCCACACCUGCUGUAAACUUGAGGUCCGAGGUGCCGCGCAGGAGGCUCUCGCUUCAAUGUGCUCUUUUCCCCCUCUGCUGUUCUCGCAAGACUUGAUCGCUUCGGGGCAUAGAUUUUUGCUCUUCUGUGUGAACACAAGCUAAAGUGGAAAUUCCCACCUGAGGUGUCAGCAUCAUCAUCAUCAUCAUGGAAAACUAUCUGGAGUAUAAUUCUUGCUAAAGUUCUUUUCAACGACUCCUUUUUCCUGAAUCCAGACUGAAUGGACCUGAUUGGAUGAAGUAUUUCUCAGUAUUGAGCCACAUGUUCCCUGUUUCCAGAACUGAGACCUUGGGGAGGUCAUUUACUCUCUGGAGGAAUGGACUUUGAACCUGAGAUAUAGGAAGUUGCAGGAAGUGACAUGACUUGUAGGCGGCGGCCAGCAUUAGUGAUCAUUGAUCAAGGAUGGUUACAUCCUGUUACUCUUAUUCAAUGAGAAGACUCGAGUGUUUUGCUUUUAAACCCUGGACAUGCUGGAAGCAGGUCAGGUUCCAGGGGCACAUGGUGGGGGGUGGGAUGGGUCCCAGGUGUGUGUCUGUGCCUCUCCCUGCAGGGAUUAAAUAAAUGUUUUCUCUUUGUACCUGUUGAUGUCUCCUAUUAGUUAAUUGGAUUGGGAAGGGGGGGUCUUACACCUGACCCGUCCCACACAAGAGUAUAUACCAUGAACUGAACUAGGGAGACGGAAAGAAUUCCCUUUUCCUGUUCUCCCUCUUUUACCCUGGCUCCUAGUAAUGGGCCUGGAGAUAUUUGUUUCUGUUAAGGGUUAUUUGUCCUCAGUUUCAGGUGCUGGAAGUGAAGAAGAGUUUGAACCUGAGAGACCUUGGAGCUAGUAUUGCAGGUGGAGGUGCAGCAGCCAGCCAUGUCAUUAUCAAACCCUAAGAAGUUAGACUGAGACUUAAGUCCAAGGAGGGUUUUGCACUUGGAUUUUGGACUGUGAUUUUUAGGAACUGAACUUAAGCUAUGAAUCAAAUUCUCUUACCUUCCCCAUUGACUGAGGAGAUAGAAAAGGAAUUGAGAAUUAUGCCUUCUAUGUGUUGGGGCAACUAUGUUUGUAUAUAUUUAUAUCUCUGGAAGUAAAU
Molecule: long non-coding RNA, 1294 nt
Organism: Sarcophilus harrisii (Tasmanian devil)
Lineage: Eukaryota; Metazoa; Chordata; Mammalia; Dasyuromorphia; Dasyuridae
Exons: 3
Source: RefSeq, a predicted model, not a curated record